Molecule: long non-coding RNA, 1236 nt
Filed under: Piliocolobus tephrosceles (Ugandan red Colobus)
Lineage: Eukaryota; Metazoa; Chordata; Mammalia; Primates; Cercopithecidae
Description: lncRNA (ENSPTEG00000008617.1)
Source: RNAcentral
AUAAUUAGUUUUUUAUGUGUUUUUUAUGCAUAUACUGUUUCUUUAAAAUCAAAUGUAUAUGUUCACAUGUUUGUACACUGAAUAAAUAUUGGCCAUAUGCUUAUAUAUUAUAUAUAUAACAUUCCUUUUAUACCUAAUAACUAAAAAUUAGUUUACGCACUUAAAUGUGUUAUAUUUAUGCAUAGGAUGUGUGUAGGAGUAUUAAAUGCAUUUUAUGCAUAAUGUUAUUAGAAUAGCUUAGGUAGAAAAACAGAUAAAAUUUGAAUUGGUAGCAGUUAAAGGAGUUACGUAUGCAUAUAAACGUGUAUAUAUAUAUAUAUANNNNNNNNNNUAUAUAUAUAUAUAUACAAAUACAUUACGUUUACAUUUACUGCUAGUAUUAUAAAAAUGUAAUUAAAUGUGGUAAAUAUAUUACUUCCAUUUUUAGAUUCAAUUCGUUACAAAAACAAAUAGAAUUAUGCGAAAAUGAAAAUGAUUAUAAUAUUAUAAAAAAAAAAAUAGAAGAUUAUAUUGAUACUUUAAGUCAAACCAAUAAAUUGUUGUGUCAAAAUUCACCUGUUGAUAGAAAUUUAAAAGAAAAUAGAGAUAAAAUAAUAGAAGAUGGUUCAAUGCUUUUAAAAAUUUUUAGGCAAAUUAAAAAACUCAACUUUUCAGCUGUUUUGAGUGAAUUGAAUAAAUUUAAAGAAGAAAACAGUUUACUUAUGAAUUUGAAGCAAAAUGUUUAUCACAAAAAACAAAUAAUUAACAUUUUAAAUGAACAAAUAAAAGAGCAAAUUGAGAACACAGAAAAUAAAAAAAAAAUUAUUGAAGAUAAGAUAAAAGAAAUUGAAAAAAAAAAAAAAAUAUUUUUUAUAAAGUUUAUGAUUUAUUAUAUAUAUAAAGAAGAAUAUGUUCAUGCCAAUAUAACCAAUUAUGAACUGACUAGCAAUUACAAAUAUGAUUCAGUUAAAAAUGCAAAAGAAAAAAUGGAAGAAGAGCUAAAAAGUUAUAAUAGUAUUAAUGAUUAUAUUAAACUCUUUUUAAAUAAAAGAAACGACCGUUUGCAAAGUAUGUAUGACACAUUACUUGAUUAUUACGAAAAAGAAAAGUUCCAAAAGAAUCAAAAUUUAGGAGCAAUAAAAAAAAGCUAAAUAGUUUUGUUAAAGAAAUCGAAGAGAAAAGGAAAAUAAUAGUAGGGGCAACAAAUAUAUAUACUAUCUGUUUUGUCACAAUAAAAAAAGAAAAAUGAAUUUUGCA